RNAcentral lists this transfer RNA (85 nucleotides) under Candidatus Omnitrophota bacterium. RNAcentral describes it as "tRNA-Tyr". It matches the Rfam family "tRNA". From Rfam's summary of the family: Transfer RNA (tRNA) molecules are approximately 80 nucleotides in length. Their secondary structure includes four short double-helical elements and three loops (D, anti-codon, and T loops). The record is from RNAcentral. Lineage: Bacteria; Pseudomonadati; Candidatus Omnitrophota.
GGGCAGGUUCCCGAGUCUGGUUAAAGGGGACAGACUGUAAAUCUGUUGCGCUUGCGCUUCGGAGGUUCAAAUCCUCCCCUGCCCA